This 322-nucleotide ribosomal RNA is filed under the name Sphingomonas aurantiaca. The record is from RNAcentral. Lineage: Bacteria; Pseudomonadati; Pseudomonadota; Alphaproteobacteria; Sphingomonadales; Sphingomonadaceae.
AUGACAACACUGGGUUCGCCCAGCACGUCAGACGAUAGUGCGGAUGAUUAAGACGACGCCAGAUUGCCAAUCCCCUCGCCGUCGAGGGAUUGGUCGAACACACUACAAACCUUGCACGGUAUCGAUUUUAAAACCCUCAAGCUUCGCCGCAAGGCGACGCUCGAGGGACCCAGAUAUUCACGUACGCAUGUCGCACCGGCUCCAUUGCCUGGUGGCUAUAGCGUCGGUGUCCCACCCGAUCCCAUUCCGAACUCGGCCGUGAAACCCGACUGCGCCAAUGGUACUAUCGCUCAAGCGAUGGAAGAGUAGGUCGUCGCCAGGC